RNAcentral lists this ribosomal RNA (468 nucleotides) under uncultured bacterium. RNAcentral's name for it is "partial 16S ribosomal RNA". It matches the Rfam family "Bacterial small subunit ribosomal RNA", at positions 28 to 507 of the family's 1533-position model. The record is from RNAcentral.
GACGAACGCUGGCGGCGUGCUUAACACAUGCAAGUCGAACGGAAAGGCCCUUCUUUUGUGGGUUGCUCGAGUGGCGAACGUGUGAGUAACACGUGAGUAACCUGCCCUUGACUUUGGGAUAACUUCAGGAAACUGGGGCUAAUACCGGAUAGGAUCUCCUGCUGCAUGUUGGGGGUUGGAAAGUUUCGGCGGUUGGGGAUGGACUCGCGGCUUAUCAGCUUGUUGGUGGGGUAGUGGCUUACCAAGGGUUUGACGGGUAGCCAGCCUGAGAGGGUGACCGGCCACAUUGGGACUGAGAUACGGCCCAGACUACAACGGGAGGCAGCAGUGGGGAAUAUUGCACAAUGGGCGGAAGCCUGAUGCAGAAACGCAGCGUGCGGGAUGACGGCCUUCGGGUUGUAAACCGCUUUCGCCUGUGACGAAGAGUGAGUGACGGUAAUGGGUAAAGAAGCACCGGCUAACUACGUG